UCCCUAAAAGACCGUCCCAUUCGGAUUGCAGGCUGCAACCCGCCUGCAUGAAGUUGGAAUCGCUAGUAAUCGCGGAUCAGCAUGCCGCGGUGAAUACGCUCCCGGGCCUUGUACACACCGCCCGUCACACCAUGAGAGUCGGGAACACCCGAAGUCCGUAGCCUAACAGCAAUGGGGCGCGGCCGAAGGUGGGUUCGAUAAUUGGGGUGAAGUCGUAACAAGGUAAC
Molecule: ribosomal RNA, 227 nt
Filed under: uncultured bacterium
Lineage: Bacteria
Description: partial 16S ribosomal RNA
Rfam family: Bacterial small subunit ribosomal RNA
Source: RNAcentral